Long non-coding RNA from Hemiscyllium ocellatum (epaulette shark), 532 nucleotides. RefSeq lists it as uncharacterized. NCBI's taxonomy places the organism in Eukaryota, Metazoa, Chordata, Chondrichthyes, Orectolobiformes, Hemiscylliidae. The record is from RefSeq and is a predicted model, not a curated record. The transcript is spliced from 4 exons.
UUAUCCUGUCGGGUUCGAACCCACUGGAAAUGCUGACAUGUCUUCUCCAUGUGAACAGUUCCCAAAAGAAGGAUAAAUCUCGAGGAACCUCUGAACAGACUAAAAGCUUCAUCGCUGAACUUAGGAAUGAAAUGUCACAGCUGUAGGAGAAUCUGCUUCACAUCCAACUGCCCGACCAGUGGAGCCAGGGGAACCAAAGGCGUUACUACGUUUCAACACAGAAAACAACUUGGAAAGAAGCUCAGACAUUCUGUGAAUCCAUGGGGGCCCACCUUGUUGUCAUUAACAAUGCUGAGGAGCAGGUGUUGGGACAGCAGUCAGCCGAAUGGCCAUGAAAGUUAUGAAGAAGUCUGUGUGGUGACUUCCUGCAGUGGGCAAUGGCAUGAUUGGCCGUGCGAUUCUAUUCAUACCUCAAUCUGUGAAAAAUCAGCAUAAUGUUGUUUUCCUUUUUGUUACAAUUGAUGGAAAGUAAAUCUGUUAAUAAAUAUUCAAUCCAUGUUGUUAUGGCCAAGAUGGGAGGCGUGUCACACAG